This 115-nucleotide Y RNA is filed under the name Microcebus murinus (gray mouse lemur). Its description in RNAcentral is "Y RNA (ENSMICG00000044512.1)". It matches the Rfam family "Y RNA". From Rfam's summary of the family: Y RNAs are components of the Ro ribonucleoprotein particle (Ro RNP), in association with Ro60 and La proteins. The record is from Rfam by way of RNAcentral. Lineage: Eukaryota; Metazoa; Chordata; Mammalia; Primates; Cheirogaleidae.
GGCUGGUCCGAAUGUAGUGAGUUAUCUCACGUGGUUGUUCACAGUCAGUUACAGAUUGAUCUCCUUGUUCUACUACUUUUCCCCCCUUCUCACUACUGCACUUGACUAGUCUUAA